RNAcentral lists this long non-coding RNA (4297 nucleotides) under Vigna radiata. Its description in RNAcentral is "long non-coding RNA (VRAD_LNC014459)". Lineage: Eukaryota; Viridiplantae; Streptophyta; Magnoliopsida; Fabales; Fabaceae. The record is from RNAcentral.
UUUUCUCUGAAUCACGAUUAGGGUUUCUAUUUCAUUUCUCCAUCACAAUAUCCUAUUUUCGUAUUUCCUAUCUCCUUUAAAGGUUGCCGCCACUCUUGUCGAAAGACUCGCGGAAGGCUCACCACUCGAAGGCUUUGCCGCAUUCUGCCGCCGCCACUUUGCCAUUGCCACCCUUUGUCGUCGCCACCCUCUGCCGUCGCCGCACUCUACCAUCGCUGGAAAGAAAAGCAAAUCUGCAACCUAAAGGUACGUUUUUCCCUUACCCUUUCAAAAGAAAUUGAAAAACCUUGGUAUAGCAGCAUUGGAAGAACGAAGGAGAAGAAGGGGGAGCAAAACGACGCCGUUGAGGCGGGAGCCAGAGGAGGACGCACCUGAGUUCCCGAAGGAGUCGAUGGAGUUGCCGGCGGAGGAGAGGGCGAGGGCGGGAGGUCGUCGUCGAAGAGAGAGUAUUCGAGGAAGGACGUCGUGGACAGCGAGGGGGGUGGAUAAGAGGUCGGGGUAGCUGAGGGGGGUGUGGUCGAGGGAGAAGUUGGUGGAGGAGUUGUCGGUGACGAAGAUGGUUUUGGCGGCAAGAAGGGUAGGGAGGCGGGCGUAGCGGGGGAGGAAGAGGAGGUCGGAGAAGGGGAGACGCUAGGGGACAACGUGAUAGGGGAGUAGGAAGGGGAUCCAGCGGAGGACGAAGGUUGCGUGAGAUGAAUAGUGUGGCUUUGAACUAAAUCAGUUUUCUAAACUGUAUUAGUGUAACUGAACUAAAAUUAAGUUCAGUUCCUUUGAACUACUUUUUUAGUUCAAUUCAGUUUUUUUAAUUAUUAUAUAGUUAACUGUAAUUGGUUAUAAUACAGUUCAAAUAGUUCAGUUUGCUCACCCCUAAGCAUAAAACCUUUAUAAAUGUCAAUUUGCUUUACAUGAUUGAUAAUCAAUAUUUGUAAGCUUAAACAAAUGGGCACUGAAUUUGUAGGCAUUGCAUUUUUGAAAUGGUCGUGUCACUGUGCAAAAGUCGCACUGCUUCAUCACUUAAUUUGUUUGCCAAUACUCUUCGCCGAUUCUCUAUUGGUACAUUCGUUUCUCCUUUCUCCUUUAAUUCUCAGCAACAAGAACAUUAGCUUCGUAGUAUUUGUACAAAUGGUGCAAGAUGGAGAAAAUAUUGGAAAAAGUCUCCCCUUCUUUGGGUUUCUUUUUGUGACUGCUCUUCAGUUUAGUUGCAUAGCUUUGCACAAAUUACUUAGAUUGCUUUACACCCUAGCCUUAUAGUAAUAAAGUCGUAUUGUUUUCAAUGUUGUUUAGUGGUGGCUUAAGAAAUCAUCAUAUAUAAACACUGUCAAGUAAAGUAAUAGCUUUGUUCAUGCUCUACUGCAAAAUAAUGUUGUUUUAAGUAGCAUUAGGUACACUUGUUAGAAGAGGAACCAAAGAAAAUUCAUAUGGUUACGUUUUAAAAUUAAAGAAAAUAGAACAUUAUGGGGUGAGAAAUGUGAACAUUUUACUUUGUCUAUGGGCUAAAUGCUAUCCAAAAUGGAAAUUAUGGCCUCUAUGCUGCGCUUGUUUCUUUCGCUGGAGUUUUGUUACAUGCAUUUCUGCCUUUUUCACAAGGGUGAAAACACCAGUGCUCAAAGAACGCCAGAGAGUAUAGUGAAUCAAAUGAUGUAUUCUGACAUAAACUCACGAAUUGGGAGUUGCAUGCCACUGCCUACAAUGCGAAUUGGAACAAUCAUUCACAACAUUGAAUUGAACCCAGGGUAAGGUGGCAAGCUUGUCCGAGCUGCAGGAACUAGUGCAAAGAUCUCGAAAGAGCCCACAUAAGCAUAUUGUUUAAUCCAGAUGUCCUCUGGUGUUAAAAAGUUAAUUGAUUCUCGGUGUAGGGCCACCAUUGGGCUUGUGUCUAAUCCAAGCCAUGGGGAUCACAAGCUUAGGAAGGUCGGACACAGACGAUGGCUUAGUCGAAGACCUGUUGUUCGAGGAGUGGCUAUGAAUCCCGUAGAUCAUCCUCAUGGGGGAGGAGAGGGUAAAAGCAAGAGUGGUGGAAAAUGGGGAAGAGGAUCUCACUCCUUGUGGCAAGCCAACCAAGGGGGGCUAUAAGACUGGACCCCUGAAGCGCAUAGGUUAGUAGUAGUAUAUAUAGCAUUCACUAUAGCUGCUUCUGAUGCUUCCUCACAAGAUGCUUGUAAUAAUUGUAGAAGCUUUCAUUCCUGCUUAGAAAAUUUAUGGAAUUGAUUAGAUUCAAUCAAAGUGUCAAUUUUAUGGGUUCAAAUUUUACUGUUGCUAAAGUAAAAUGCUUUUGCAUUUUCUCUGAACUGGUCUUGAAGUCAACUUAUUACACUUCCAUUGGUUUGGACUAAGUUUGUUGACUUGCUUAAAUGAGACAACGCUUUUUGUUUCUUUUAUCCUUCUGCUUUGUAUUGAUGAGAGGAAAAUAUGUUGAUGCUUUUCCUUUGAUAAUGUUUUCGAGAUAAAGAAAUAAAUUAAUUUUAACACAAAGUGGGAAAGAGGGAGGGAGAAUGAAAGGGAAAGGGAAAGCAACUGAAGAUGCUUGUAACUUCUGUUAUCCUUCUGUUUUAUAUUGACCACUUGUCUUUCUUUUCUUCAAUUCACAGCAAAGUUAGAGAGCGAAAGGGAAAGCAACCGAAUACGCUUGUAACUUCCCUAAUUACAAAUUUACCAUUUUCACUACGAAUCUCGAGGGUUUUAUUGGAAUUGAAAGAUCCCUGAUCGAUUCUGAUUCGGAAAAUGCCUUCUUCAAGUGCAGCCGAUGUUGGAUCCAUCGACCCCACAACUGCAAGAUAAAACACCAAGCAACCCAAGGCUUGAUGUAAUCUUGAAGAUCUGUAUGACCAGAGGUUUGGAGAAGCAAAGUAGCGGAUGCAAUCCAAUGGAACAGUACCAACAAUGUGAUUCCAGUACAGAUCUGGAUUGUUUGCAGAAACGAAACUUGGUGGAGAUAUGGAGGAUGUUGGCAGCAGAGGUUGUGUUUGCAGAGGUUAGAUGAAAUGGAGGAUAGCUUGAAGAGGUGAAUCACAACUCAGAAGGCCCCCACACUAGGAAGGAAGUUGCAAUGGAGAAGCAAGCAUUGAAGUGACUCUCGGACAUGAGAAAGUGUCUAUGCAUUUCAACAGAGUUUCUCUAAUAUCAUCCAAUGUGCUAAAUGUGCUAGCUUCUAGAAACCAUAUGGAGUACACAUUUAUUUUAAUUCUAAUAUAAGAAAGUUCCCGGUGCACCCUCUAUCAAGCUAAUCUCACCCCUGCAUGUGCAUAAAGGUCUCUUUUACCCCUCUCCAUGUUUUUGGGUUGUUCUUUAUUUGGUGGGCUUGGCCCCCGCAUAUCAUCCCCUCCCCCUUGGAAAGGAUUUGUCCUCAAAUCUGAUGGUUCGCCUGAGGACUUAUUUUUGUAGACUUCACUAGAAUUCCUCCAAGGUCAAAUAUCCACCUGCAAUAAGCAUUAAACAUAUCACUAAUUAGUUUUCUAUGACCCAACAAAAUAUAUAAAAGAACAUGUUUAGAAGAAGGUUUCUUAAUUUUAAAAUGUUCAAGUUUAAUACUAUGAAGAAACCUUUCUUCUUUUGAAAUUUUAUUUGUCUCUUGAGUUAGUGGUACCCAUAAAAGUAACCCUAACCCAAGUUGUGAAUUGCCAUGUAUUGAAGGUUUUAUUAUUUUUAAAGAUGGCAUGGNAAAUUCUUGGAGAGAAAAGUGAUAUUUUGGACUUUCAAAANUAAAUGAAGAAAAGUGAAAGGAUAGUAAACCUCCCCUUAAUAGUUUUGAUUCCAUUGUGGUUGGAGGAGAUAUUGCUCUUAGUUGCUUUUGUUCACUUUCUUCCACUUCUUUUCUUUCAAUUUCUUCUUUGUCUUCUCUUUCUUUUUCUUUUAUUCUCUCUUCCUCUUUUCUUCUCUCUUCUUCUCUCUCUUCUUCCUCUCUUUUUCUUCUGUCUUCUUCUAUCUCUUCCUCUCUUUUUCUUCUCUCUAAUUCUAGUCUUCUUUGAUUUUCUUCUUUCAACUUUCUUUCUUUUUCUUUUUCAUCUAUUUCCUUGUUAAGGCGCAUUUGUGCUUGAUCAUCCGCCACUUGUGAUGAUGAGAGAGGAUGAAGUACAAAUUUAUUCUCAUGAUGAUGCACAAUUAUGGUAUUGGUAAGACCAUUAUGAAUUGUUUUAUGAUCAAAUUGCCAUGGUCUUCCCAAUAAAACAUGACAAAUUUCCAUUGGAACUACAUCACAUAAAACUUUGUUUUUAAAAUUGCCAAUGGAAAUUGUUACUGUGACUUGAUCCUUGACUGUGAUAUUCCCAUCUUUAUUGAUCCAAUGUAUUUUAUAAGGUUU